UUCUUCAUGAUUUUAAUUUACCAUUAAGGCCUAAGAGGAUUGAUAUUAGUUAGAAUUAGAAAUAAUGUAGAAAUUAGAAUAAUUUAUUUGGAGCUUACAACAUAUUACAAUUAAAAAUAACAAAAAGUAAAAAUAGCAAAAAUUGUCCUUCUAGUUUUGUCAUGACACAAGGUUAUAACGCAGAUUUUGACGUAGACCGAUGUUUUGGGCAAAAUGGAAAGUUUUUUUAGCCAUCUAGUCUGUGACGCUAGAUAUAACGUCUAACGUCUGACAGAAUGUAGUUAUAUAUGAACGUGGGCAGCAAGUCUUCGAAAGGAGCGAUGAGCAUCUGGUACAGAGACGUGAGGCACGGCGGGCCCUGCCACGAGGGCAGCUUCUUGCGCGGGCCGUGCACGCUCGACCUGGCCACGUGCAACGUGUCAUAUUAUAUCGUCAGGGCUGAUGUCUGGUAAACUGUUGUCAGUGUCUUCAGACUCUUCCGUAAGAGGCACUUGAUUGAACCUUAGUAUACCUGAAAUAAAAACUUUAUAUAAAUAAUGGCUGGAGUACAGAUGGAGCCAGGAGUACAGCCUUCCCGCGGCCAAACUGUAAUACAGCACGGGGGCCUUCUGUUUGUUUACCACCUCCAAUAUCUGGUCCACUGUGGAGGGGCUCCAGGGCUCCGACCUGUCCUUGCUCGGGUCUUCCGAUGAUGCUCUAUGAAGACCCCGUGUUAUAGGAAGGAAAUUGACGUGGUGCGUGGAAGUGUACAGAGCGACGACCUUCCUGUCACGGUGUUUCUCUCCGCCCGACUCCAGCACCGCGAGGGCCGCUUGCAGCUGUUCCUUCGCCUCCUCCAGCUCGCCGGAGGCCCAUAGAGCAAAGCCCAGUCUGUGCCGGACUCGAGCCUGCAAACAUAUUUAUUCUCCGUUUACGAGACACAUCGCGUCAUGUUGCUAAGCGACGAGUAAGGAAACCAGACAAGUUACCUCCUCAUCAACAUCAGCCAAGCCCUCCGUGGCGGCGAGCGCUUGCCUCAGCAGUAGCAUGCCUGAGCCGCGACUCGUGCCAGCGCGCCGCCUCGGCGUGAGCGCCCGUGGACGCGUGCGCCGCGCCCAGGCCGCCGCAAGCCCGCGCCUGACGUAUUCACAAUCUUGUUUAUUUAUUUAUUUUAUUU
Plodia interpunctella (Indianmeal moth) is the source of this 1156-nucleotide long non-coding RNA. RefSeq lists it as uncharacterized. The record is from RefSeq and is a predicted model, not a curated record. Lineage: Eukaryota; Metazoa; Arthropoda; Insecta; Lepidoptera; Pyralidae. The transcript has 7 exons.